CAUUCCCUUCGGGGACAGAGAGACAGGUGGUGCAUGGUUGUCGUCAGCUCGUGUCGUGAGAUGUUGGGUUAAGUCCCGCAACGAGCGCAACCCCUGUGGUUAGUUGCCAUCAUUCAGUUGGGCACUCUAAGCAGACUGCCGUAGAUAAUACGGAGGAAGGUGGGGACGACGUCAAAUCAUCAUGCCCCUUAUGACCUGGGCUACACACGUGCUACAAUGGUCUGAACAGAGGGUUGCGAAGCCGCGAGGUGAAGCUAAUCCCUUAAAACAGAUCCCAGUUCGGAUUGCAGGCUGCAACUCGCCUGCAUGAAGUUGGAGUUGCUAGUAAUCGCGAAUCAGAAUGUCGCGGUGAAUGCGUUCCCGGGUCUUGUACACACCG
Molecule: ribosomal RNA, 379 nt
Filed under: uncultured bacterium
Lineage: Bacteria
Description: bacterial SSU rRNA
Rfam family: Bacterial small subunit ribosomal RNA
Source: RNAcentral